AGGUAAGCUACUAAGAGCGAAUGGUGGAUGCCUUGACUGGUAAAGGCGAUGAAGGACGUACUAGACUGCGAUAAGCUACGGGGAGCUGUCAAGAAGCUUUGAUCCGUAGAUUUCCGAAUGGGGCAACCCAAUGUAUAGAGAUAUACAUUACCUAUAUAGGAGCGAACGAGGGGAAUUGAAACAUCUUAGUACCCUCAGGAAAAGAAAUCAAUAGAGAUUGCGUCAGUAGCGGCGAGCGAAAGCGCAAGAGGGCAAACCCAGUGCUUGCACUGGGGGUUGUAGGACUGCAAUGUGCAAGAGCUGAGUUUAGCAGAACAUUCUGGAAAGUAUAGCCAUAGAGGGUGAUAGUCCCGUAUGCGAAAAACAAAGCUUAGCUAGCAGUAUCCUGAGUAGGGCGGGACACGAGGAAUCCUGUCUGAAUCCGGGUCGACCACGAUCCAACCCUAAAUACUAAUACCAGAUCGAUAGUGCACAAGUACCGUGAGGGAAAGGUGAAAAGAACUGAGGUGAUCAGAGUGAAAUAGAACCUGAAACCAU
RNAcentral lists this ribosomal RNA (537 nucleotides) under Campylobacter jejuni. RNAcentral describes it as "partial 23S ribosomal RNA". It matches the Rfam family "Bacterial large subunit ribosomal RNA", at positions 1 to 559 of the family's 2925-position model. Lineage: Bacteria; Pseudomonadati; Campylobacterota; Epsilonproteobacteria; Campylobacterales; Campylobacteraceae. The record is from RNAcentral.